UAUUGUAAGAAAUUGUAUUAGAUAUUGGUAACUUGUUCUAACAACUUCUCAACAUUACCUAUAAGUUGACACAACAUACACACCCCCUCUUUCUCUUGGACAUAUGCUGGACACAUAGGACAUAUACACGGCACCCACAAUUCCCCUCCCCCAUGACAAUCACACAGACACACCCAACCCAUGGUUGGACCUCAGGACAAAGAACUCUCAGGAACCAAUGGAACGUGGACACCAGGCCUGAUCAGGACUACCCAAGACCCAGACCGACCAAUCGGAAGGCCAGACUCGCAGAUCAACCUACUUUGCUUGUUGUCUAUAUAUAAAACUGUAUGACUGUGGAAACUCCCUCUUUUUUCCAAAUGACCCCAUACGGAUCGGAUAGAAAAGAGCCGUGCUGCACGCUUUGCAUAAUAUUUUUACACUUGAAUAAACCUGCCUUAUUAUAAAAUGAUCCACCUCGUCCUAUGUCUCCACUUGGUCUCCUGUCUCAAGUAAAAGAAUUAUCAUCAACAUGGUAGCAGAGGAUGGUUAAAACAUAUUUGAAUUAGGCCCAAUAGAAAAUUCAUCGGACAGGAGACGAGAGGGAGAAAGAUUCAAGAAGGAGAGGUGACCCGCUCGAGGGAGACGUCGGCGAUUCAACUCACCCAGGAAACUGAUCAAAGAGCUCGAAAAUAUUAAGGUAAGCAGAGCCGGUUUAAUCAAAAUCUGCAUAUUGUAUUAUAGCCAAUAUCUAAAUUCAAUGAUCAGAAGUACUGAGGUGAGUGAAUUGUUGCUAAAUUUAUGUGGAAUUGUUUAGAAUCUAAGGCAAUGUGUAAAGAUAUUUGCGAAGUAUAAAAUCAAGUCGCAUUAGUAAUCUGGGACUAGUUGAAACAUUUUUCAACUAGGAGCAUCAGUGAUAAACCUAAGCUUGAAAUAGGAGUAAUGGUAUUAAACUUGAAACUCAAAUGUAUUUGAAAUGUAAUGUGAUCUGUUCAAGUCGUAUUAGUAAUCUGGGACUAGUUGAAACAUUUUUCAACUAGGAGCAUCAGUGAUAAACCUAAGCUUGAAAUAGGAGUAAUGGUAUUAAACUUGAAACUCAAAUGUAUCUGUUCAAGUCGUAUUAGUAAUCUGGGACUAGUGGAAAUGGCAUCCCUCUAGGAGCAUCAGUGAGAAAUCUAAGCUUGGCGUAUUGGGAUUCAAGUCGCAUUAGUAAUCUGGGACUAGUUGAAACAUUUUUCAACUAGGAGCACCAGUGAUAAAUCUAAGCUUGAAAUAGGAGCAAGGGUAUUAAACCUGAAACUCUCCAAAUUAAUGCUGUUCAAGUCGCAUUAGUAAUCUGGGACUAGUUGAAACAUUUUUCAACUAGGAGCACCAGUGAUAAAUCUAAGCUUGAAAUAGGAGCAAGGGUAUUAAACCUGAAACUCUCCAAAUUAAUGUGUGUGAUUGAGCGUUCCACGAGAUCUAUUGCUACUAAUUAGCUAUAAGCUAAGUUCAGGCUCCGUUAGUGGUGACCGCCGAGUCAGAAUCUGUGUGCCACGGUGAAGCAGCCAUUUACGGUUGAUGAGUUGACCUGGUUUUCCCCUCAUAUACUGUUGGUAAAUCCUUAAGGGAUAGAAUUCAUUUGAAAAUUAUUAUAGAAGCGCGUGAAUUACUAGUAUAUUGUCCCCAAAGGAAAAUUUCUGAAAUGUUUUGGCAAAGUAUUUAAUUAAUCGGAAAAAGUUUAAAUUAACCGGGAAAGUUAAAAGAAAUAAUAUCUCUCGAGUUAAAGGUCUUAUAAUUGCCAUUCCAAUUAUAUCAGGAGCGCCUGAAUUCAUUAGUAUAUUGUCCCCAAAGGAAACUUCUGAAAUAUUUUGCCAAAGUAUUUAAUUAAUUAAUUUAGCGAAAAGCAAUAAUAUUUUUUAUUAUAAAUACCCAAAACUGUCAUUCCAAUUAUAACAGGAGCGCAUGAAUACAUUCGUAUAUUGUUUCAAAAAGAGAUAGCUGAAAUAUUGUUGGAAAACGAAAAUAAUUCAUCAAAUACACGGCAAUAAAAUCCUUUGUCCACGCGAGUCGGACACGAGACUGGAGGAAGAGAGGGGAAGAAAAAUACAUCGCUGGUUUCGAUCAGUAACGGGCUAAAGUAUACAAAGAUAAUAAUAGACCCAGACAUAGCUUAACGACAAAAUGACCACGACUAUCGUCCCCAAACACAAAUUCAACGAAUAUUUAGAUCAGAGAAUGAAAGACAGAGCAGGCGGUAAAUUACACUACAAACCCGUUAAAAAGAUCUGGGAGGAAGUGAGGCUGAGAUGGACUCAAACAGGUUUCCUUAGUGGAGUCGCCCCAUCAAAAGGGCAACUCCUCAUUAUGGAGAAAGAAUUGGAGGAAGCAGUGAAGCAAGGGAUAGAAUGUGAAGUUGAUAAGAAUAAGAGUCAUUUUUUUUAAAAAAGAAGGGACAAAGCAAAGGGAAAAGGCACAGGCUGAGAUGAGAAUAGGUUUAUGGGCAAUUGAGGAAAUUAGGAAAGCUCUCCCUUACCGGAAACCUGAUACGAUGGGAGUGGUCACUGGAGCACCAACUGACACCAAAGAGGGCAGGCCCAACAAUAAUGACGCCCCACCUACCACCACAGCAGCCCCAUCGGCCCCAACCCAUCUCAGGGGCACUGUGGGGUUAAUGGCAAUUCCCCAGGCUCAGUUCAACUCCCAUGUGCAUCACCACAUUACCCAAUACAAUAAGGAUAAGGGAGGGGCUGAAACACAAAUCCAGUCCCUACAGGUACAACUUUUGAAACUACAAUUGAAAGAGGCCCAGAAAGGAGAGAAACCCAAGAAACAGAUGGUGGCUGAAGACCAACAAGAAAUCUCACAAAUCAUUGAAAAAACUGUUUCCCGAAUGAUACAGCAACAACAACUACCCAUCUUCACCCAGCAGGGACCACCUAUACACCCACCCCAGGAGCAGCCAUUCCAACUGCCGUAUGCCUACCCGUUUCAGCCAUACCCUUCGUCGGAACCACCACUACAACCCUACUACCCACUACCACAAUCAAACUAUUCACCCACAUGGGGACAGCCCCAGAGGUACUCUGGAUCUUAUGGAAGCUGUUAUAAUUGUAAACAAGCUGGGCAUAUGGUGCGACAGUGUCCGCACCCAAUAACCCCGGCCCAAAGCCAGUUUCUGGCCAAAAGGGGACGAGGAUACGCCCCUAGACCAAGGGGGAGUCAGGCCAAGGAUGUAUCAACCACGUGCGGCCCUUCAACCCGCAUACAAUCACCCCAAUCCAGACCCGAAUUAGCAAUCACCUCCCCCUUUUCAGGGCAUGGCUGACGAAUAUGCCCCAUGGCCCUGAAGCUGCUCACCACUAACCUACACUCAUCAUUGACCUGGACUACUGAAGCAUCAAAGGCUUUUGCACUCUUGAAAACAGAUCUCUAAGUGGCAGUAGCCCUAACAGCACCUGACUAAAAAAAACAAGUUCCAUCUGGAUGUUUCUGAAAAAGAAGGAUUUACAUCAUCCAUCCUUUUCCAGAACCUAGAGGGGGAGAGAAGAGUGUUGAGGUAUCACCCCUCCAAACUGGACUACAUUGAAGAAGGACAAACCACAUGCUCCAGGUAUGUGGAUGCAGUGGCAAAAGCUAUUGGGAAAACAGCCCACAUGAUAAUGUGCCAUCCAUUGGAAAUCCACACCCACCAUGGGGUUGCAGCAUAUCUGAUGAGCAAAGAAUUCACGUUCAGCGCUGAAAGGAAAACGAAAAUCCAGAAUAAAUGCACACAAUCACACAUCACAUUUGUCAACACUGACAAAAACAUGGCAGACGCACUCAAUGCUGAAGGUCUACCCCACUCCUGUGCAGAAAGAGCUGCACAGGAACUGAAACGGAGACCUGACCUGGGGAAUGAACCACUCACCAACACACACAGAUAUGGGGAAAGACAAUGUGACUAAUGGAAAAAGGUACCUGUUAGUUAUGGUAGACAGGUUCUUUAAAUGGGUUGAGGCAAUACCAACAGCAGGGGAGGAUGCAAAAUAGGUCAUUAAGUGGCUGCAAACCGAACUCAUGUGUGUUGUUUGAUGACAAACGCUCCAUGUACCAAUAGGGUCGGAUGUGUAAAUGUCAACUGAUUGUUGUUUAAUGAUGGGGUUAGUGUACAGGCCACAAUCUCAUAAGUCUCGUGGAACGCGCCAAUCAAAUGUAUGUGCAGGUUUGAAGUUGAUUUGGGUUAAAGUCCUGCCCCUGGCGUUGCUGGCCAUGAUAGCCUCUCCAGGUGCAGGCACCCAUCUCUCUCCUCAUGAGACAAUGGCUGGAGGAGUCAUGCUGGGUUCACCAAGGAAGGGAGGUCAUAUGCCCGCCCUUGAUGUACAACAAAUUGUAAUGUUUGAUAAUUGACGGAACUUUCUGCAGCUCUCUCCACACAGAUUCACAAAGUCCAACGGGGAAGCAGAAGGGAGAUCUGGCACACGGAAGGUAAAAAAUUGGUGACUGGGUGGGGUUAAUGUCCACAAGAGAAAGUGGCUAGAACCCAGGUGGACUGGACUGUACGAAGUGGGGGAGGUUACUUCACACUCAGUCCAGGUCAAAGGUAAAUCAGGCGCACCUUGGCACCACUUCACACAUUGCACUCCAGCCCCAAUCCCUUCUAGAACACUGACAGAAGUCAGAGCUGAUUUAAACAGCUUAAAUUCGAUUCCAAAUGAAGACAUUUCUGACUCAGGUGAUGCGGAAUCAAACUCCGCCUCCCCUGAUAAAAAAACCUCGCCCAGUUGGAGGGAUAUUUCUCCCUCCCUGGGCAAGGCUAGGGAUAUCUGGCCCCUUAUUUGUGAUAUUCCUACUGAUAUUUGGGCUGUCCCUGGGCACUUUCACAUGGUUAAUAGAAUAACUAUAACCGGAUCCCCAUGGAUGUAUGUCACGGACACUCUAGUCUAACUAGGUAAUAAUAGAUUAAAAAAUUAAAAUAAAAAAAAAAAUAAAAAAUUUAGAAAACAAUAGUUAAAAUAAGAAACUAAUAUGGCUCAAAUUGAGAAGGUUGAAUGAGAGUGGGUGAAGAGCUAUGCAGAGAAUGGACAGAAGAUGGCAGUAUUGCAGCACCCAAAUGGUCUCCCAGCCGACUGGUUGAAUGCUGGUGACAUAAUUUUGUUUUUUUAGAUAUGGAACACGAAUGUAGGUGUAACAUUUUGACCUGUUUUCUGUUUCCAUUGCAUUUUCCGGCGACUUGAUCACUCGCGGGGAAAUGUGGUGAGAAUAAGGAGAUUGUGUCAUUUGGGAUACUAGUUUUGAGGUAAAUUGAUUACAAUAGAGUUUAUAACUCUUGACCAUAAGGUAAGCAUUUGUAUUGGCCAUUAGAAGAUAGAGAUAGGUUAAUUAAGGUUAUGUUAGGACUUUAAAGGUUGACACUAUAAGACCUGUAGUUAUUUUUAAAUCCAUGCAGAUAAAGUCAAAACAGUGAGACACUUAGUUAAUGUUGUAAAGGAACACACAGUUGUUAUUGACUAUUAUUACAAAAAGGCAGACAGAUGGGUCUACCCCGCACUGUUCAGACCUUGAAGGUUUGAGAGCAGAGUGGGGAGGGUGGACCAGGAAAUGAGCAAGGUAGGCUGUGAAAUAAGAUAGGAGAGAAAGGGGUUAACAUAUUUAAGCAGCACAGAUACAUUUCAAAGUAGAUAAGUCACUUGACAGAGAAUUAGAAAAGAAUAGAUAUGAAUGUACGCCGAAGGGAGAAUUGGAUAUGCGGGGAAUAAAAGGGACGUUCCUAGAAUAUGAUGUACUAGGUUAUUAUUUAGAGUAAGUAAGGUUGAUACCUGGCCAGAGCCAGGUAUCAAACGAAGGAGGGUACAUUGUGGACUGGGAAAGGAUGGGGUCCAUUGGAUAAUAAACUUAUUUAAAAUUAAACAUUUAUAGCUAAAAAAUUAGGCAUAGAAAUUAAAUAUAUAAUCAGAAAGAACAAAUGAGGAACUGUUUGUUAACCAAACCUGUAUGUCCAAGAGUUUAUACAUUGCAGGUGAAUCAAGGGAGAAGGUGAAUCACUCGACCUGGGGGCAUAUCGCACUUGGAGGGUGAGACACACUGACACUGCCGAAUGAUCACAGAGUUAAGGAGAAGAACUGUUGCUAAUAAAGCUCAGGGGUCAACUCCUUAAUGAAGAAUUCCCUGACCCCGACCUUUCCUCACUGUGUUCGUUCAUAGAAGUGAAAGUGUUGCUUGAUCUCUGGCUGAUGAUGUGUUCUCUGGGAGAGGGUGGGGUUUUACAGGACUGCUUGUAGUCCUGAGCUGUCUGAUCAGGAUACGAUGGGGAGGUUACCAUCGCAGUGCUGCCAGAACCACCACCAGUUCCAACGGACCAGGGUUCAGCCGGCCUCCUCCACCACUCCAAGACCAAGUCCCACGCCAUCACCUAAGCUCUCCAAUCUGAAGUCCCUCCCCAGAAGGACCGUGGGAAGUUAAGGCAUAUGGGGGACAUAACAGCUGUAACACUGGUACAGGUAGAGGUAUAGACUAUGGAAGGCUCCCUGCUACUACCUGCAUAACUAAUACCACUAUUAACUAGAGGUGUUGCUGAUGUAUGGUGGAUGUGUUGACCUGCCAGGCGGUUGACCCCAUUUUUGAAAGGAAAUUGUCGUUGCUCAUGUGUUUUGGCCAGUCUGCUACCACCAUUGCCUAUUAUUAUAGCUAAUCAACUUCUGGGAGCUACACAGGACACAGAGGCUUGGGACCAAACCAGGAGACGGCAGAAACGUGACGCUCCUUGGUCCGAGGGUACAGAUAACAUGCACACCAACCUGUUGGGGGUCCCAAUAGGGGUCCCCCACGAAUUCCAGACAUUAACCAGGAAUGAUGGCCUGUGGCAUCUGAUGCCCAUCAUUGGCCCAGCUAUUGUUGAUGUUAAAACAAAAGGUCUGGAUCAAUUAUAAACACACCCACACAGGACUUACAGGGAUGGCUGAACAAUUGGAUGCUGCCUCACAAACCAGUAGACACAAUAGACUAACACUGGACAUAAGUCUGGCCAACAAGGGAGGUGUAACAGUGUUUCACGUUUGUUCCUAACAAUACUAGUCCGGAUGGGAGCAUUUCAAAAGCUCUGAGUGGGUUGGCAAGGUUAUCAGUGGAGAUGAAGGGUCUUGCAGGUGUGGAGGAGAGUGGACUGUUCCCCUGGCUGGGUGGUUGUUUUGGUAAGUACACUGCAAGGACGAUUACUGGAUUUCUGACACUAGUUGUGGUUUUUCAUUUCUGUGCUGCCUGUAUCAUACCUUGUUUGAAGAAGUUUGUUACAGAUGUGUAAGGGGCCUCUGGUUGAUGCUCCAGUUGGAGAGGCUGAUACGAAAACGAGCUUCCGCAGGAGAGUGGGCUGACAGAGGAGGACCCUUGGUUUGCUGUAGAUGAUGUUGUUGAAUGAAUAAAAAGUGAUGUUUGUCCUCCCUGUUGUGAAGGUUUGAAGUUCCCGGGUGGCGACGAGCCCACCUGGUACAGGUUGUAUAGAGGGAUGGACCGGAGGGUUUAACAUAUUCUCGUUUUUUGGUUUACUAAUGUGUGGUUGGCCACUCCAGGGGUAGUUAUUGGAGUGGUCUCCUUUUUGGUCCUUGCUCAUUUACGACUCAACUUACAUUGAUGGAAUUGGUGUCCCCAGGGGGGUACCAGAUAAGUAUAAACUGGUUGACCAAGUGGCCGCAGGUUUUGAAUCAUCAUUUUGUUGGUGGUGUACAGUUAAUAAAAUGUGGACAGAAUUAACUACAUUCAUUUUAAUGUCCAGAAACUGGGCAAUUGGACUCAACAAGGCUUCGAGGCGGUCCAUGGACAAUUGGCAGCUACGUCCCUGAUGGCAUUUCAAAAUAGAAUCGCGGUUGAUAUGUUAUUGGCUGAACGGGGGGGGGGUCUGUGCAAUGUUUGGUGAACAGUGUUGUACUUUCAUUCCCAAUAACACAGCUACGGAUGGGAGUCUGACUGUAGCAUUGGAGGGACUUCGUACCCUUAAUGGUAAGAUGAAACAGCAUUCUGGAAUGGACACUACUAUGUGGGACUCAUGGAUGGAUGCUUUUGGUAAAUAUAAGACGCUGGCUUCCUCCGUCCUAGUAUCAAUUUCUGUUUUUGCGGCCAUUCUUGUACUUUGUGGAUGCUGUUGCAUUCCAUGUGCGCGCACGCUUGCUAGCCGUGUUAUAACUGCAGCCAUAGACCCUAAUCAGGAAAGGGCCCAAAUGUCCCCACUGCUUGAGGAUGGGGAAGCUGGACCUGUCUAUCUAUUUGAGGACUAAGAUACUUUUAUGUCACGUCUCUUGUGAGACGUGAAGAGAGGGAAUCAAAAAUUUGUCUUCUGACAAAUUUUAUCCCAUAGCUUUGUCUUUUUAUACUUUUAUGUCACGUCUCUUGUGAGACGUGAAGAGAGGGAAUCAAAAAUUUGUCUUCUGACAAAUUUUAUCCCAUAGCUUUGUCUUUUUAUACUUUUAUGUCACGUCUCUUGUGAGACGUGAAGAGAGGGAAUUAAAAAUUUGUCUUCUGACAAAUUUUAUCCCAUAGCUUUGUCUUUUUAUACUUUUAUGUCACGUCUCUUGUGAGACGUGAAGAGAGGGAAUUAAAAAUUUGUCUUCUGACAAAUUUUAUCCCAUAGCUUUGUCUUUUUAUACUUUUAUGUCACGUCUCUUGUGAGACGUGAAGAGAGGGAAUUAAAAAUUUGUCUUCUGACAAAUUUUAUCCAUUAGUUUUGUCUUUUAUAUACUUUUAUGUCACGUCUCUUGUGAGACGUGAAGAGGGGGAUUUGUAAGAAAUUGUAUUAGAUAUUGGUAACUUGUUCUAACAACUUCUCAACAUUACCUAUAAGUUGACACAACAUACACACCCCCUCUUUCUCUUGGACAUAUGCUGGACACAUAGGACAUAUACACGGCACCCACAAUUCCCCUCCCCCAUGACAAUCACACAGACACACCCAACCCAUGGUUGGACCUCAGGACAAAGAACUCUCAGGAACCAAUGGAACGUGGACACCAGGCCUGAUCAGGACUACCCAAGACCCAGACCGACCAAUCGGAAGGCCAGACUCGCAGAUCAACCUACUUUGCUUGUUGUCUAUAUAUAAAACUGUAUGACUGUGGAAACUCCCUCUUUUUUCCAAAUGACCCCAUACGGAUCGGAUAGAAAAGAGCCGUGCUGCACGCUUUGCAUAAUAUUUUUACACUUGAAUAAACCUGCCUUAUUAUAAAAUGA
Long non-coding RNA from Salvelinus fontinalis (brook trout), 9153 nucleotides. RefSeq lists it as uncharacterized. NCBI's taxonomy places the organism in Eukaryota, Metazoa, Chordata, Actinopteri, Salmoniformes, Salmonidae. The transcript has 2 exons. The record is from RefSeq and is a predicted model, not a curated record.